Molecule: small RNA, 3899 nt
Filed under: Pongo abelii (Sumatran orangutan)
Lineage: Eukaryota; Metazoa; Chordata; Mammalia; Primates; Hominidae
Description: retained intron
Source: RNAcentral
GGUGUUUUGAAACAUAAAAGAUUGCACCCUUAUGUGUGCUUUGUGUUGAAAGGAGCCCACGCAGCCAACAGCAGCAGGAACAAAUGGCCUGCUCUGAUGGGGACGGGCAGGAAGUCCUUCAGGGCAUUUCUGUUUCAUCACAGCUUUUCCUGGGGCUGGUGAGUCUGUUGGGCCUUUGGCUGACAGGGAAGCGCAUGAGCCCAUGUUGCUGGAUGCAAAGCGUCUGGGGCCUGGCAGAAUCCAGAUAGGGGAAGAAGGUGGCCCCAGGAACUGGCUUAUUUUGUGACCCCCCAGAGAGCAGUGUGGCUGACCCAUUAGUGCUACAAGUCCAUAGCCAGGCCUCAGGACAGCUUUUGGUUUUGUUUUUAUUAAGCCACUGACCAGUGGUUAGGAGCAAGUGAUCACAACCUUAACAUUUUUAUGGAAAAUUGGAGCCUUGACCUGGGGAUAACGUGAAACCCACGAGCUGCACGUUUCUCUGUAGACUGCAUCUGGACACCUGUCACGUUGCCGACUGGGUCUGACAGUCAUCGCCAGGACUGCCUGGGCCUGUGUUCAUUCCCAGUCAAUGAGUCCUGGGACACAGACGUCCCGGACUCGUGCCUGGUGCCAGGCCUCGUGCCUGCCCAAGGAUGCAGACACACCCGCCAUCAUCAUGCAAGUGCCAGGAGCUCUUCUCAGCACUUACGUGUGGGAACUCGAGUAAUCUCACACCCUAGGAGGUGGCACUACUGUCACCCCAGUGUGCAGAUGAGGAAUCAGAGGCCAGAAAAGGGGGUGACCUCACUCACACAGCAAGCAUGUUGCAGAGCUGGAGUCCAGGCCAUCAUUCUGAACCUGCCCCUGGCUGGGCCAUUGUACCUUGUCACCUCUCUGCAGAAGCUGGGCCUCCUCCCCUACAUCAGGCCCCCCGUCUGGCCAGCGCUCUUCCCCCACUGCCCCAGGCCACCUGCUGUGCCUGUGAGGGCUGUGUGUGAGCACUCUCUGGAGCGCCGCUCAUUCUCUUGUCUCUCCCCCUGCGUCCUGCCAGGAAGCUGAUCAGUAUCUCCUUUGGGGACCUGAACCCUUUCCCGCUACGCCAGAUCCGGAACCGACGCGCCUACCACUUGGAGAAGGUCCGGCUGGAGCUGACUGAGCUGGAGGCCAUCCGUGAGGACUUCCUGCGUGAGCGGGACACCAGCCCUGACAAGGGUGAGCUGGUCAGUGAUGAGGAGGAGGAUACCUGAGUGGGCUCCGGGACGCUGCUCUUCCUGCCUUCACAACCAAAGUGUGCCCAAAGGGUGAAAGCACGCUUAAAAGCCAGAAUGUAAAGCGUGUGGCCUCUGGGGAUCUGCUGGGCAGAUGUCCCAAGCCAGGCUGCACUUCCUCAUUUCCCACUGUGCGGGGGCAGGGGUGGGAGGUCUAAUCUGUUUACAGCCAUUUCCGUGCCAUGCUUUUGGUUACACAUAUCUCAGUCACGCUUUCUGCCUGAUGGGUGGAUGCUCGGGCUUACCAGUGGCUAUUUGCAAGAGCCUGUUUCCAGCCUCCAUCAGCCUGUCGGUGCUCUGACCCUCUGAAACUUUGCUUUGCUGGGCAUCUCCCCAUGUUCUCUGGCCUUGGUUGAGGGGAUGGAGGAAUGUUUUCUGGGGUGCUUUGCAGGACAGUGGUGCAGCUGCAGCGUGAACGCUUUUGGACAGCUGAAAACCGUGGCCUCCUUGCGGAUGGCCAGUGCUCCUGGUGUCUCCUCCACCUGACUAGGUUGUGCAGGACGCCAGCUGCCAGUGCCUGGGGAACUUUUUUGCUUGGGGCCCAGGCUUGGGUGAGCUCUCCCAGAUGUGUGCCCACCCCACCACUGCCUGGAAGCAUCCUUGUUCUCUGCCAGGAUGCAGGGUCACUGUUGCCUCUGACAUGGCAGUUUCUGGGAACUCAGAUGACUGCCUUUCUGAAGGCUGGGGAGAGGCUUUGAGCAAGGAGCUUAUUUUUGCUUAAUCCCUCUAGACCAUCCCUGAUGCGUAGAUGUGAGAGGAUGUUUUCUGGCACAGUGUUAUGAAAAUACAAGAGAAACGGUCUCAGUGGAAUGUUUCAUAUCACCUGAAAAAAAAUGGAAAUCAUCCUUUGUUGAUAUAAACACACUGAGACUAAAAAUUGAAGCAAUGCAGUUUUAAGAAGUACUUUUUUCCUAUUUUUUUGCUGUCAACUUUCUAGCAAUGCCACAGCGAAGUUGGCGUUUCAGCACACGCUAGGCUGAGCUCCGGCUUCACGUCUUUAGUGGAGUUGGUUAAUGUUUCACUGGGUAGAGGGAGCUGGCCUCUAUAUUUAGCCAGAAGCCUUUGCCUCUUUUCAGGCAUCAAAAAUGGGUUUUGUCAUUGCCUUUGAGAACAGCAGUUUGAGGUCUGACUCCUUCAGUUGUCCUGUGUGCUGGGCAUUGCAGUCAGCUUGAAUCAAGUGUUGGAACCCCCCAACCCCUCAGCCAAUCGUGAAAUGACAGCUGUCAGCCUGGGGGGGUGGCUGCUGAGGAGGUGCAGCAGGAAUGGGGCUGGGCCCGUGGGCCAGCACUAGCUGCCGUCAGGUUUUACUUUCCAAGCCAAUGGCCCCUGGAACAUGCCAGCACACACUGCCAUGUCCUGGGGCUAAGAGCUGCCUUUAGGGACAGGCUCGUGUCGUCCAGUUUGCCCUGAGAGAUGCACCUGACCAGAGGCCCAUCAUGGCUGCAACCCACAGUGGUAUGUUAGUGUUUCCAGGCAGUUGUCAGCAGCUGCUGGGCAGUGUGUGUGUGACAGCAGGAGAGUUCCUGGAGGAAAGGGACUGGGGACACUUUCUCAGAGGUUCUCUUGCCUGGAAUCAAGUGAUGCGUGUCCAGAAGGCAAGAGAGGGUGGCUCCGCCUGGUUAAAGUUUGGGAACAGAAUGGAGCCAACUCCUCCUUCCAGGACUGUGGGCCCCACUCUUUCGCGCUAACACUUCCCCUCCCUCACGUCACUGAGGAAAGAGCUGCUCUGUCCCCUCCAGUGCCCUGAAGGUCCCUGGCCUCCAUUGGCUGCCAUGGCAGGGGACCCUUCUGGCAGGGGCUGCCCCACGCUGCUGUUCCUCCUCCGAACCUUCACCCCAACACCCAGCCCGUGGUCCCUGCAAGGGGGAACCUUGCCAGCUGGGAAACCCAAAGCCUGUCCAAAUGCACGCACGAGGACCGAGGGGAGCUCCCUCCCCACACCUGCAGCAAAUUGCCAACUUUUAAAUGGAUGGGGUUUUUUAUGGGUUGAACCUGUGUUAAUACUUUUGUACACUUUCACUACAGUUUAUAUUUUUAUAGGCUAUUUUCUCAAAGUGUUUCUAGAUUCCACAUAUCUAUUUUAUGUAACAAGUUUUUAUGUUAUGUGUGUGACUUCCUUGUGUGUAUCUGUGCCAGCCUCAGCCUCCGAGUUGCUCUUCCCUCUGGCCCUGACUCUCACUGACUCACCGAUGUGAUGUGCGGGCCCACUUCUUACCCCAGGUAGCCUCGGGCACUGCCUGUAGUCAUGCUGACAGCUGUACAGUAGCCGCCAAGACUGCUGAUGGCUGGAGACGGUUCUGGUUUCAACUACGGUAUAUUGAUAUCGGAAGUAUUCUAGACGGAUCCUCGGUUGGGUUUUCUAACUACGUUUGUAUUGCACACAUCCCCACCUGCCAUCCUAUAGUGUUGUCUUCCUGUGUGUUCCGGGGCUUCUGGGCAGCUGCGCCUGCUCAGGGAAGUCCUUGCAGGUGGGAGGCCAUGCAGAGACCCAGUGUGUGCCACUGAGCGUCCCACCGCUGCUGGGCAACUGGAGGACUGCAGGGGGCGCCAGUGACUCUCUCCUUUCAUAUCACAGCAGCUCCUGUGCUGACCUUCAAGUUACGUUUUGGAACUGUAAUACUAAAGGAAGAAAUAAACUACUAAUUUGUAUAA